AUAUCCAAACGUGUGAGAGUUAUGCAAAUACAAACAAGGAUAAAUGAUUUUCAAAACGAUUUAUUGAACAGAAGCUGAAGAAGUGAAAAUGAAUGCAUUCAAGAGGAGAGAGGGUGAAAGAAGCAGAAUUUCUAGAAUGGUCUGAUUUCUGAAGUAUGAUGACAGUCAAUUUUUGAGCCAGUAUUGGUGCAAGUUAAGACCUUCAACACAAUGUUAUUACCGUGAUCAAACUCAAAAUUAUGGAUGGCUUGUUCAAGGCAGUUGAUCAAACAUGAUUUCCUCCAAGUUUGUAAGUUAAGUAAGUAAAUGUUUGUUGAAUGAGUAAAUAAGUCAAAAUUCAAACAUGUACAAUUUAACUCUCAAUAUGAUCAUUUUCUGAAAUACUAAAACAUUAUAU
This 397-nucleotide long non-coding RNA is filed under the name Capra hircus (goat). RNAcentral describes it as "lncRNA (ENSCHIG00000007455.1)". Lineage: Eukaryota; Metazoa; Chordata; Mammalia; Artiodactyla; Bovidae. The record is from RNAcentral.